GAUGAACGCUAGCGGCAGGCCUAAUACAUGCAAGUCGAACGGGAUCCAGAUCAAAGCUUGCUUUGGUCUGGUGAGAGGGGCGCACGGGUGCGUAACGCGUGAGCAACAUACCCUUAUCAGGGGGAUAGCACGGCGAAAGUCGGAUUAAUACCGCAUGACACCAUUGAGAGGCAUCUUUCGAUGAUCAAAGAUUUAUCGGACAAGGAUGGGCUCGCGUGACAUUAGCUAGUUGGUAAGGGAACGGCUUACCAAGGCUGCGAUGUCUAGGGGCUCUGAGAGGAGAAUCCCCCACACUGGUACUGAGACACGGACCAGGCUCCUGCCGCAGGCAGCAGUACGGAAUAUGGGACAAGGGACGGAAGUCUGAACCAGCCAUGCCGCGUGCAGGAAGACGGCCCUAUGGGUGUUAAACUGCUUUUAUACGGGAACAAACGUCGGUACGUGUACCGGUCUGAGUGUACCGUAAGAAUAAGGAUCGGCUAACUCCGUG
Molecule: ribosomal RNA, 490 nt
Filed under: uncultured bacterium
Lineage: Bacteria
Description: partial 16S ribosomal RNA
Rfam family: Bacterial small subunit ribosomal RNA
Source: RNAcentral